Molecule: ribosomal RNA, 305 nt
Filed under: uncultured bacterium
Lineage: Bacteria
Description: bacterial SSU rRNA
Rfam family: Bacterial small subunit ribosomal RNA
Source: RNAcentral
UGCAGCCUACGGGAGGCAGCAGUAGGGAAUAUUGCUCAAUGGGGGAAACCCUGAAGCAGCAACGCCGCGUGGAGGAUGAAGGUUUUCGGAUUGUAAACUCCUUUUGUUAGAGAAGAUAAUGACGGUAUCUAACGAAUAAGCACCGGCUAACUCCGUGCCAGCAGCCGCGGUAAUACGGAGGGUGCAAGCGUUACUCGGAAUCACUGGGCGUAAAUAGCGCGUAGGCGGGAUAGCAAGGCAGAUGUGAAAUCCUAUGGCUUAACCAUGGAACUGCAUUUGAAACUGUUAUUCUAGAGAAUGGGAGA